UGGGGAAUAUUGGACAAUGGGCGAAAGCCUGAUCAACCAAUGCCGCGUGUGUGAAGAAGGUCUUCGGAUUGUAAAGCACUUUAAGUUGGGAGGAAGGGCAGUAAGUUAAUACCUUGCUGUUUUGACGUUACCAACAGAAUAAGCACCGGCUAACUUCGUGCCAGCAGCCGCGGUAAUACGAAGGGUGCAAGCGUUAAUCGGAAUUACUGGGCGUAAAGCGCGCGUAGGUGGUUCAGCAAGUUGGAUGUUAAAUCCCCGGGCUCAACCUGGGAACUGCAUCCAAAACUACUGAGCUAGAGUACGGUAGAGGGUGGUGGAAUUUCCUGUGGAGCGGUGAAAUGCGUAGAUAUAGGAAGGAACACCAGUGGCGAAGGCGACCACCUGGACUGAUACUGACACUGAGGUGCGAAAGCGUGGGGAGCAAACA
RNAcentral lists this ribosomal RNA (427 nucleotides) under uncultured prokaryote. RNAcentral's name for it is "bacterial SSU rRNA". It matches the Rfam family "Bacterial small subunit ribosomal RNA", at positions 355 to 774 of the family's 1533-position model. The record is from RNAcentral.